Molecule: long non-coding RNA, 526 nt
Organism: Tripterygium wilfordii
Lineage: Eukaryota; Viridiplantae; Streptophyta; Magnoliopsida; Celastrales; Celastraceae
Exons: 4
Source: RefSeq, a predicted model, not a curated record
AAACCUACAGUGCACGACCGGACCCCUCCCUCACUCUCUUUUCUUCUUUUCUUCUCAAUUCCCUAUGCAGCCGUGGCCCCUCUUCCCCACCAUCACCACAAUUGUUCAACUGCAGUCACCUUGCAUGCUACCUCCGGUCACCGGACAACCACCGUCUUUCGGAACUAUUUUUGAAGGUCUCUACAAGUUGGUUGGCUCAUUGGAUAGUACUUGGAGAUUAUUGCUUAAUCUUAUGAAGUUUAUGUCUACAAGAGGUUAGAAGGAUGUUCAGGAUUGAUUGCCGGAGGCGUGACAGUGCAGUGUAGUCCGCGUCUAUUAGAUUUAUAUUUCGUGUCUUUAUUAGGAUUUAGACUUGUUAAACUAUUGAAAUUUGACAUAUUUCUCAGUCACCAUUGACUUGAGCUAUUUUGGUUCCGCCGAGGUCUAGUAUUUUUAUUUUAUUGGAUGUUUUGCUACUUUCUUUUGAGAUUGACCAUUGAGGUCUUUAAUUAUCUGAUAGUAUGAAACCGUAUUUUCUGGAGGCUUA